GGGAAAUUUAGGCUUAACUGGUUUAGAGCACCUCGUUUACACCGAGGAGGGGCGUCCCGAUUUGAACAUCGGGAUCAUUUCCCACCA
Molecule: transfer RNA, 87 nt
Filed under: Sphingobacteriaceae bacterium
Lineage: Bacteria; Pseudomonadati; Bacteroidota; Sphingobacteriia; Sphingobacteriales; Sphingobacteriaceae
Description: tRNA-Val
Source: RNAcentral